This 491-nucleotide ribosomal RNA is filed under the name uncultured bacterium. RNAcentral describes it as "partial 16S ribosomal RNA". It matches the Rfam family "Bacterial small subunit ribosomal RNA", at positions 29 to 506 of the family's 1533-position model. The record is from RNAcentral.
AGUGAACGCUGGCGGUAGGCCUAACACAUGCAAGUCGAACGGCAGCACAGUAAGAGCUUGCUCUUACGGGUGGCGAGUGGCGGACGGGUGAGGAAUACAUCGGAAUCUACUUUUUCGUGGGGGAUAACGUAGGGAAACUUACGCUAAUACCGCAUACGACCUACGGGUGAAAGCAGGGGAUCUUCGGACCUUGCGCGAUUGAAUGAGCCGAUGUCGGAUUAGCUAGUUGGCGGGGUAAAGGCCCACCAAGGCGACGAUCCGUAGCUGGUCUGAGAGGAUGAUAAGCCACACUGGAACUGGGACACGGUCCAGACUCCUACGGGAGGCAGCAGUGGGGAAUAUUGGAAAAUGGGCGCAAGCCUGAUCCAGCCAUACCGGGUGGGUGAAGAAGGCCUUCGGGUUGUAAAGCCCUUUUGUUGGGAAAGAAAAGCAGCAGGUUAAUACCCCGCUGUUCGGACGGUACCCAAAGAAUAAGCACCGGCUAACCUCGU